RNAcentral lists this ribosomal RNA (468 nucleotides) under uncultured bacterium. RNAcentral describes it as "partial 16S ribosomal RNA". It matches the Rfam family "Bacterial small subunit ribosomal RNA", at positions 28 to 507 of the family's 1533-position model. The record is from RNAcentral.
GACGAACGCUGGCGGCGUGCUUAACACAUGCAAGUCGAACGGAAAGGCCCUGCUUUUGUGGGGUGCUCGAGUGGCGAACGGGUGAGUAACACGUGAGUAACCUGCCCUUGACUUUGGGAUAACUUCAGGAAACUGGGGCUAAUACCGGAUAGGAGCUCCUGCUGCAUGGUGGGGGUUGGAAAGUUUCGGCGGUUGGGGAUGGACUCGCGGCUUAUCAGCUUGUUGGUGGGGUAGUGGCUUACCAAGGCUUUGACGGGUAGCCGGCCUGAGAGGGUGACCGGCCACAUUGGGACUGAGAUACGGCCCAGACUCCUACGGGGGGCAGCAGUGGGGAAUAUUGCACAAUGGGCGGAAGCCUGAUGCAGCAACGCCGCGUUCGGGAUGACGGCCUUCGGGUUGUAAACCGCUUUCGCCUGUGACGAAGCGUUAGUGACGGUAAUGGCUAAAGAAGCACCGGCUAACUACGUG